UGGGGUAUAUUGGACAAUGGGCGAAAGCCUGAUCCAGCCAUGCCGCGUGUGUGAAGAAGGUCUUCGGAUUGUAAAGCACUUUAAGGUGGGAGGAAGGGCAGUAAGCGAAUACCUUGCUGUUUUGACGUUACCGACAGAAUAAGCACCGGCUAACUCUGUGCCAGCAGCCGCGGUAAUACAGAGGGUGCAAGCGUUAAUCGGAAUUACUGGGCGUAAAGCGCGCGUAGGUGGUUCGUUAAGUUGAAUGUGAAAGCCCCGGGCUCAACCUGGGAACUGCAUCCAAAGCUGGCGAGCUAGAGUAGGGCAGGGGGUGGUGGAAUUUCCUGUGUAGCGGUGAAAUGCGUAGAUAUAGGAAGGAACACCAGUGGCGAAGGCGACCACCUGGGCUCAUACUGACCCUGAGGUGCGAAAGCGUGGGGAGCAAACAGG
RNAcentral lists this ribosomal RNA (429 nucleotides) under Pseudomonadota bacterium. RNAcentral describes it as "Proteobacteria bacterium partial 16S ribosomal RNA". It matches the Rfam family "Bacterial small subunit ribosomal RNA", at positions 355 to 776 of the family's 1533-position model. The record is from RNAcentral. Lineage: Bacteria; Pseudomonadati; Pseudomonadota.